RNAcentral lists this ribosomal RNA (915 nucleotides) under Bacteria yersiniana. RNAcentral describes it as "SSU rRNA". It matches the Rfam family "Eukaryotic small subunit ribosomal RNA", at positions 426 to 1278 of the family's 1831-position model. The record is from RNAcentral. Lineage: Eukaryota; Metazoa; Arthropoda; Insecta; Phasmatodea; Diapheromeridae.
CAGCAGGCGCGCAAAUUACCACUNCCGGCACGGGGAGGUAGUGACGAAAAAUAACGAUACGGGACUCAUNCNNNGNNCNGUAAUCGGAAUGAGCACACUUUAAAGACUUUAACGAGUAUCCAUUGGAGGGCAAGUCUGGUGCCAGCAGCCGCGGUAAUUCCAGCUCCAAUAGCGUAUAUUAAAGUUGCUGCGGUUAAAAAGCUCGUAGUUGGACUUGUGUCCCNCGCUGCCGGUUCACCGUUCGUCGGUGUCUAACUGGCAUGCCGUGCGGACGUCUGUUGGUGGACGCGGCCGGCAAGCGGGGCCCCCUGGGUCUCGCGCGCCGGCGGUCCGGUGCAAUCCUACCGCGGUGCUCUUCACCGAGUGUCGAGGUGGGCCAGCACGUUUACUUUGAACAAAUUAGAGUGCUUAAAGCAGGCAUGGGUUCGCCUGAAUACUGUGUGCAUGGAAUAAUGGAAUAGGACCUCGGUUCUAUUUUGUUGGUUUUCGGAAGACGAGGUAAUGAUUAAUAGGGACAGACGGGGGCAUCCGUAUUGCGACGUUAGAGGUGAAAUUCUUGGAUCGUCGCAAGACGAACUAGAGCGAAAGCAUUUGCCAUGAGUGUUUUCAUUAAUCAAGAACGAAAGUUAGAGGUUCGAAGGCGAUCAGAUACCGCCCUAGUUCUAACCAUAAACGAUGCCAGCCUGCGAUCCGCCGGUGUUCCUCCGAUGACCCGGCGGGCAGCCCCCGGGAAACCAAAGCUUUUGGGUUCCGGGGGAAGUAUGGUUGCAAAGCUGAAACUUAAAGGAAUUGACGGAAGGGCACCACCAGGAGUGGAGCCUGCGGCUUAAUUUGACUCAACACGGGAAACCUCACCAGGCCCGGACACCGGAAGGAUUGACAGAUUGAGAGCUCUUUCUUGAUUCGGUGGGUGGU